AUGUGUUAAUUGUAGGGGUGCCCAUGGAGCUGGGGAUCAGAAAUGUCCCGUGCGAUAGAAGCAGGUUGAGGUUUCUAGAGUUAAGAGUAGAGCAGAAUUUGUCAUAUGCUGAGGCGGUGGAGAAAGUAGAGGAAGAUGGGAGAAGUGGUGAGAGUAGUAGAGAUAUACUAGUACAGAGGGAUAGGCCAAAAAGUUAAAUACGUUUCAGUAAGAUUGGAUUUUUAGCAUUUACAGCAAUGGUUAUUAAUUGUACUGCAGGAAUAGAUCAGAAGUCUCAGAAAAUUGAGGUUGUGGUGGCAGCUGUAGAGAGGCAUUUGGGUGUGCAUGACUUGACAGCAGGAGAGUUACAGGAUGUGGUGAUUUUCCCAUCCUUUUAGGGUGAUGGUAGGAAGUAGGAAUAAAUACAUUUAAUUAGUGGAGUAUGGGGGUGUUCAUUUUAUUUUAAAUCAUUUUGAAAUUAGUGAAUAUAGUGUUAGAUGGGUAUUUAGUACAUUUUUCUACUUUAAGUAAAGUAUAAGGUAUUGUAGGUCUGGCAGUAAUGCAACAAAUUUGAUGCAACCAUCGUUAACCUCAUAGAAGAAGGAGAUGAAAGACCUCCAAUCGUCAACAUGACUGGCUGCGUUUUGCUACAAUCAUUAUUUAGUUUUCCAAGGACCCAUAAAACAGAGGCCGUGGGAGAACCUAUUAAAAUACAGAGAGCUGUCGAAGCCUGUCUGCAGAUGAAGAGGUCCCAGUGAAUGUCCCAACAGAGUAAGGGUACAUCCCUGUAUGCCAUGGAGUAUAUACCGUUUUAAAAGUCACACAAUGUAGAAACCUAUUACAACUGGAGCAGACCAACCCU
This is a long non-coding RNA of Oncorhynchus kisutch (coho salmon), 841 nucleotides long. RefSeq lists it as uncharacterized. The record is from RefSeq and is a predicted model, not a curated record. The transcript has 2 exons. Lineage: Eukaryota; Metazoa; Chordata; Actinopteri; Salmoniformes; Salmonidae.